GCAAGUCGAGCGGCAGCGUGAUUGUAGUUUACUACUUUUGACGGCGAGCGGCGGACGGGUGAGUAAUGCCUGGGAACUUGCCCAUUCGAGGGGGACAACCAUUGGAAACGAUGGCUAAUACCGCAUACGCCCUGAGGGGGAAAGGUGGCUCGCAAGAGCUAUCGCGAAUGGAUAGGCCCAGGUGGGAUUAGCUAGUUGGUGAGGUAAUGGCUCACCAAGGCGACGAUCCCUAGCUGGUCUGAGAGGAUGAUC
Molecule: ribosomal RNA, 252 nt
Filed under: uncultured bacterium
Lineage: Bacteria
Description: partial 16S ribosomal RNA
Rfam family: Bacterial small subunit ribosomal RNA
Source: RNAcentral